UACGAAGGGGGCUAGCGUUGCUCGGAAUCACUGGGCGUAAAGGGUGCGUAGGCGGGUCUUUAAGUCAGGGGUGAAAUCCUGGAGCUCAACUCCAGAACUGCCUUUGAAACUAGAGGACUUGGGUACGGGAGAGGUGAGUGGAAUUCCGAGUGUAGAGGUGAAAUUCGUAGAUAUUCGGAAGAACACCAGUGGCGAAGGCGGCUACCUGGACAGGUACUGACGCUGAAGCGCGAAAGCUAGGGGAGCAAACAGG
This 253-nucleotide ribosomal RNA is filed under the name uncultured bacterium. RNAcentral's name for it is "partial 16S ribosomal RNA". It matches the Rfam family "Bacterial small subunit ribosomal RNA", at positions 524 to 776 of the family's 1533-position model. The record is from RNAcentral.